AUGGAAGCCACCAACUGCUCCAUUGCUCUGGAAACCGCAGACCAUGCCGCCGCACACGGCACAAGCGCGCCCGCUCUGCUCCUCUUGUCUUCGGUGGCCGUGAUCGGCGCGUUUCUGGUCUACUUCUACGCGCCAUUCUGGGCCCUCAGGAGGGUCCCGGGGCCUCCCGCCAGGUUUCCCCUCGGCCAUCUCCAUCUUCUCGCCAACCAUGGACCAGACGUCUUCCGCGCCAUCGCCAAGGAGCACGGCCCCAUCUUCCGGUUUCACAUGGGGAGGCAGCCGCUGGUGAUCGUGGCGAAUGCGGAGCUGUGCAAGGAGGUGGGCAUCAAGAAGUUCAAGGACAUCCGCAACCGGAGCACCCCGCCGCCGACGGUGGGGUCGCUGCACCAGGACGCGCUCUUCCUCACCAGGGACUCCACCUGGUCCUCCAUGAGGAAUACGGUGGUCCCGCUCUACCAGCCGGCCCGGCUCGCCGGCCUCGUCCCGACGAUGCAGCCCUACGUCGACGCGCUGGUGGACAGCGUCGCUGCCUGCCCGGACCAGGACUGCGUCCCCUUCUGCCAGCUCUCGCUGCGCAUGGCCAUCGACAUCAUCGGCAGGACGGCCUUCGGCAUCGACUUCGGCCUCUGCAAGAAGGUCGCCGCGGCGGACGGCGGCGAGGACGUGAGGGGGUUCCUGGAGGAGUACAAGAGGUCCAUGGAGUUCAUCAAGAUGGACCUGUCCAGCUCUCUGUCCACCAUCCUCGGCCUCUUUCUCCCGUGCGUGCAGACGCCGUGCAAGCGCCUCCUGCGGCGGGUGCCCGGCACGGCGGACUACAAGAUGGAGGAGAACGAGCGCCUGCUGUGCCGCCGCAUCGACGCCAUCAUCGCCGGCCGGCGCAGGGACCGCGAGAACAGCGCCUCCCCGCCGGGCGCCGCGCUGGACUUCAUCGCGGCGCUGCUGGACGCGAGGGAGGGCGGCGCCAGGGACCUGGCGCUGGAGGACAGGCACGUGCGCGCGCUGGCGUACGAGCACCUGAUCGCCGGGACCAAGACGACGGCGUUCACGGUGUCGUCGGUAGUGUACCUGGUGUCGUGCCACCCGCGCGUGGAGGGGAAGCUGCUGGCGGAGGUGGACGCGUUCGGCGGCGCGGCCCCCGACGCCGACGACCUCCAGGGCAGGUUCCCGUACCUGGACCUGGUGAUCAAGGAGGCCAUGAGGUUCCACCUGGUGUCGCCGCUGAUCGCCAGGGAGACCUCCGAGGAGGUGGAGAUCGCCGGGUACCGCCUCCCGAGGGGCACGUACGUGUGGCUGGCGCCGGGGGUGCUGGCCCGCGACGCGCGGCAGUUCCCGGAGCCGGAGGAGUUCCGGCCGGAGCGGUUCGCGGCGGAGGGGGAGGAGGAGCGGGCGCGGCACCCUUACGCGCACAUCCCCUUCGGCAUCGGGCCGAGGGCGUGCGUGGGGCACAGGUUCGCGCUGCAGCAGGUGAAGCUCGCCGUGGUGCACCUGUACCGACGGUACGUCUUCCGCCACUCGCCGGCCAUGGAGUCGCCCAUCCAGUUCGACUUCGACCUCGUCCUCGGCUUCCGCCACGGCGUCAAGCUCAGAGCCAUCAGGAGGACGACGAGGGACUCAUCGCCAGGCCCUUCCACGUGA
RNAcentral lists this ribosomal RNA (1635 nucleotides) under Triticum aestivum (bread wheat). RNAcentral describes it as "partial small subunit ribosomal RNA". Lineage: Eukaryota; Viridiplantae; Streptophyta; Magnoliopsida; Poales; Poaceae. The record is from RNAcentral.